UGAUCCUGGCUCAGGAUGAACGCUAGCUACAGGCUUAACACAUGCAAGUCGAGGGGCAGCGGGAUUGAAGCUUGCUUCAAUUGCCGGCGACCGGCGCACGGGUGAGUAACGCGUAUCCAACCUUCCGUACACUCAGGGAUAGCCUUUCGAAAGAAAGAUUAAUACCUGAUGGUAUGAUGAGAUUGCAUGAUAGCAUCAUUAAAGAUUUAUCGGUGUACGAUGGGGAUGCGUUCCAUUAGGUAGUAGGCGGGGUAACGGCCCACCUAGCCAACGAUGGAUAGGGGUUCUGAGAGGAAGGUCCCCCACAUUGGAACUGAGACACGGUCCAAACUCCUACGGGAGGCAGCAGUGAGGAAUAUUGGUCAAUGGACGAGAGUCUGAACCAGCCAAGUAGCGUGAAGGAUGAAGGUCCUACGGAUUGUAAACUUCUUUUAUAAGGGAAUAAACCCUCCCACGUGUGGGAGCUUGUAUGUACCUUAUGAAUAAGCAUCGGCUAACUCCGUGCCAGCAGCCGCGGUAAUACGGAGGAUGCGAGCGUUAUCCGGAUUUAUUGGGUUUAAAGGGAGCGCAGACGGGUCGUUAAGUCAGCUGUGAAAGUUUGGGGCUCAACCUUAAAAUUGCAGUUGAUACUGGCGUCCUUGAGUGCGGUUGAGGUGUGCGGAAUUCGUGGUGUAGCGGUGAAAUGCUUAGAUAUCACGAAGAACUCCGAUUGCGAAGGCAGCACACUAAUCCGUAACUGACGUUCAUGCUCGAAAGUGUGGGUAUCAAACAGGAUUAGAUACCCUGGUAGUCCACACGGUAAACGAUGGAUACUCGCUGUUGGCGAUAUACUGUCAGCGGCUUAGCGAAAGCGUUAAGUAUCCCACCUGGGGAGUACGCCGGCAACGGUGAAACUCAAAGGAAUUGACGG
RNAcentral lists this ribosomal RNA (910 nucleotides) under uncultured bacterium. Its description in RNAcentral is "bacterial SSU rRNA". It matches the Rfam family "Bacterial small subunit ribosomal RNA", at positions 14 to 916 of the family's 1533-position model. The record is from RNAcentral.